RNAcentral lists this ribosomal RNA (612 nucleotides) under Micrococcus luteus. RNAcentral's name for it is "bacterial SSU rRNA". It matches the Rfam family "Bacterial small subunit ribosomal RNA", at positions 73 to 699 of the family's 1533-position model. The record is from RNAcentral. Lineage: Bacteria; Bacillati; Actinomycetota; Actinomycetes; Micrococcales; Micrococcaceae.
GCCCAGCUUGCUGGGUGGAUUAGUGGCGAACGGGUGAGUAACACGUGAGUAACCUGCCCUUAACUCUGGGAUAAGCCUGGGAAACUGGGUCUAAUACUGGAUAGGAGCGUCCACCGCAUGGUGGGUGUUGGAAAGAUUUAUCGGUUUUGGAUGGACUCGCGGCCUAUCAGCUUGUUGGUGAGGUAAUGGCUCACCAAGGCGACGACGGGUAGCCGGCCUGAGAGGGUGACCGGCCACACUGGGACUGAGACACGGCCCAGACUCCUACGGGAGGCAGCAGUGGGGAAUAUUGCACAAUGGGCGCAAGCCUGAUGCAGCGACGCCGCGUGAGGGAUGACGGCCUUCGGGUUGUAAACCUCUUUCAGUAGGGAAGAAGCGAAAGUGACGGUACCUGCAGAAGAAGCACCGGCUAACUACGUGCCAGCAGCCGCGGUAAUACGUAGGGUGCGAGCGUUAUCCGGAAUUAUUGGGCGUAAAGAGCUCGUAGGCGGUUUGUCGCGUCUGUCGUGAAAGUCCGGGGCUUAACCCCGGAUCUGCGGUGGGUACGGGCAGACUAGAGUGCAGUAGGGGAGACUGGAAUUCCUGGUGUAGCGGUGGAAUGCGCAGAUAUCA